AUUUAAAUAGUUUAAUAAAAAUAUUGAUUUGUGGGAUCAAAGUUAUAGGAGAUAAUUAUUUUAGAUA
RNAcentral lists this transfer RNA (67 nucleotides) under Staphylinidae sp. BMNH 1274241. RNAcentral describes it as "tRNA-His". The record is from RNAcentral. Lineage: Eukaryota; Metazoa; Arthropoda; Insecta; Coleoptera; Staphylinidae.